ACUAAGCGGGAGAUGCAGAUGGCCUGGCUUUAAUCCCAAGGACACCCCACCUCCCUGUGCGCCCCAGACCACUGUCCUGCCCUCCAGUGGCUGGCGGCUGACAGGGUCGGUCCAGGCGGUUCCAGGGAUGGGCAUGUCUAUGUCUGGGGACCAUUACUCUGCCUCCCACAUGAUCAGAAAGUCGAUUGCCUGAGUGUUACAAGACCUUGAAGCAGUUUGCCGAGCUUCUGAAAGUCAGAGCCCUGCUUCCAGCCUACCGUGUUCCUGAAGCAAGAGGACUCAUGCCUGCUGCCUGCUGAGCCCUGGCGGGCCCCACAGCUGUCUGCUCUGUCAGG
Long non-coding RNA from Cervus elaphus (red deer), 335 nucleotides. RefSeq lists it as uncharacterized. The transcript has 3 exons. NCBI's taxonomy places the organism in Eukaryota, Metazoa, Chordata, Mammalia, Artiodactyla, Cervidae. The record is from RefSeq and is a predicted model, not a curated record.